GCCCUGGGUAGCUCAGCUGGCGAGAGCACUGUGCUGGCGACGCCAGAGUCACAGGUUCGAUCCCCGUAUGGGGCA
Non-coding RNA from Podarcis lilfordi (Lilford's wall lizard), 75 nucleotides. NCBI's taxonomy places the organism in Eukaryota, Metazoa, Chordata, Lepidosauria, Squamata, Lacertidae. The record is from the annotation of a GenBank genome assembly.